ACGCUGCUGAGGAGUCCCACAAUAGGACGAAAAGGCCUUCCAGUGC
Molecule: non-coding RNA, 46 nt
Organism: Schistosoma haematobium
Lineage: Eukaryota; Metazoa; Platyhelminthes; Trematoda; Strigeidida; Schistosomatidae
Source: Rfam